Molecule: ribosomal RNA, 372 nt
Filed under: Babesia bigemina
Lineage: Eukaryota; Apicomplexa; Aconoidasida; Piroplasmida; Babesiidae
Description: SSU rRNA
Rfam family: Eukaryotic small subunit ribosomal RNA
Source: RNAcentral
UACCCAAUCCUGACACAGGGAGGUAGUGACAAGAAAUAACAAUACAGGGCUUUCGUCUUGUAAUUGGUAAUGAUGGUGAUGUACAACCUCACCAGAGUACCAAUUGGAGGGCAAGUCUGGUGCCAGCAGCCGCGGUAAUUCCAGCUCCAAUAGCGUAUAUUAAACUUGUUGCAGUUAAAAAGCUCGUAGUUGUAUUUCAGCCUCGCGUUUUUUCCCUCCUUUUGGGUCUUUUCGCUGGCUUUGUUUUUACUUUGAGAAAAUUAGAGUGUUUCAAGCAGACUUUUGUCUUGAAUACUUCAGCAUGGAAUAAUAGAGUAGGACCUUGGUUCUAUUUUGUUGGUUUCGAGCCUUUGGUAUAAUUUGUGUAUAGAU